RNAcentral lists this transfer RNA (57 nucleotides) under Microthoracius praelongiceps. RNAcentral describes it as "tRNA-Arg". Lineage: Eukaryota; Metazoa; Arthropoda; Insecta; Psocodea; Microthoraciidae. The record is from RNAcentral.
AAAGUGCAAUAGAUCCGUAAUUUCGACUUACGUGACAGCUUAAAAGGCUGCACUUAA